UCAAAAUGUACCUUAACUAAAGCCCUUUGUUUACACCGAAAACAUAACUGUUAAAAUCAGUUCAUUUUGA
RNAcentral lists this transfer RNA (70 nucleotides) under Lithobates sierramadrensis. Its description in RNAcentral is "Rana sierramadrensis tRNA-Val". The record is from RNAcentral. Lineage: Eukaryota; Metazoa; Chordata; Amphibia; Anura; Ranidae.